RNAcentral lists this small RNA (95 nucleotides) under Flavobacterium nitrogenifigens. RNAcentral's name for it is "Flavo-1 RNA". The record is from RNAcentral. Lineage: Bacteria; Pseudomonadati; Bacteroidota; Flavobacteriia; Flavobacteriales; Flavobacteriaceae.
UUUUUGUUUGCGUAAGGGGUAGGAACGGCAUUCUUUUAUGGUAGUUCCGAUAGCUAUCGGUAACCACAAAAGAUAAAGUGGACAGCCGACCCACU